RNAcentral lists this ribosomal RNA (253 nucleotides) under uncultured bacterium. RNAcentral's name for it is "partial 16S ribosomal RNA". It matches the Rfam family "Bacterial small subunit ribosomal RNA", at positions 524 to 776 of the family's 1533-position model. The record is from RNAcentral.
UACGUAGGGGGCUAGCGUUGUCCGGAAUCAUUGGGCGUAAAGCGCGUGUAGGCGGUCCGGUAAGUCCGCUGUGAAAGUCGAGGGCUCAACCCUCGAAUGCCGGUGGAUACUGUCGGGCUUGAGUACGGGAGAGGCGAGUGGAACUGCGAGUGUAGAGGUGAAAUUCGUAGAUAUUCGCAAGAACACCAGUGGCGAAGGCGGCUACCUGGACAGGUACUGACGCUGAAGCGCGAAAGCUAGGGGAGCAAACAGG